RNAcentral lists this ribosomal RNA (250 nucleotides) under Nylanderia guatemalensis. RNAcentral's name for it is "partial large subunit ribosomal RNA". The record is from RNAcentral. Lineage: Eukaryota; Metazoa; Arthropoda; Insecta; Hymenoptera; Formicidae.
GAAUUUAAUAUAAUUUUUAAAUUUAUUUAAGGAAAUAAAUUUUAUUUUAAUGAUUAUAUUUUAUUGGGAGGAUAAUUAAAUAAAAUGAACUUUAAUUUAAAGAUAAUUUUAACAUUAAUUAAUAAAAUUUUUAUAAAGGAUUGAUUAUUAAAUUAAGAAAAUUUUUUUUUUAUAAUAAUUAUAAAAAUUAAUUACCUUAGGGAUAACAGCGUAAUAUUUUUAGAAAGAUCUUAUUAAUAAAAAUAAUUGC